RNAcentral lists this transfer RNA (65 nucleotides) under Parapotamon spinescens. RNAcentral describes it as "tRNA-Asn". The record is from RNAcentral. Lineage: Eukaryota; Metazoa; Arthropoda; Malacostraca; Decapoda; Potamidae.
UUGAUAGAAGCCAAAUUAGAGGCAUGUCAUUGUUAAUGAUAUAAUUGAAAUUAUUUCCUAUCAAU